Molecule: non-coding RNA, 1154 nt
Organism: Xyrichtys novacula (pearly razorfish)
Lineage: Eukaryota; Metazoa; Chordata; Actinopteri; Labriformes; Labridae
Source: the annotation of a GenBank genome assembly
GGCAGGUUUGGGGUUUAACAACACCCCUCACCCAGCAAACAGUGGGGCUGGACAGUUUGCAGAGGUCACAAGUCUUGAAAAUGCUCUUCAGCUCUUUGACCAACAGCGUGCAUGUGCCAGUCCUUACACAGCGUUUAAGUCAAAUGAGCCCGCUGUUUCUCUUCCCCCAGCCUCCAACUCAAGGUAAGUAUUGAUUCAAAUUACUCAAACUUUAUUUUAUUCAUAAACGAUCGUUAUAAUAAGCAAAGAGAAUGGAAAUGACAUUAGGCAUACCUUAACAUUUAUUCAAUUAAAAAAGUUUGAUAGAGCAACAACAUUAACUUUCUCUCUGAUUUUGACCAACAGGAAAAGAAAAAGGGAAAUGGAGCAGGAGGACAGCUCGUACAUCAAAAAGCCGCCAAAUGCCUUCAUGAUCUUUAUGAGGAUGUACAGAGAAAAUGUACCAGCUGAAGUUGCAGAGAAAGGGAGCGCAGAGACGAAUGCUUUCCUCGGCCAGUGGGUAAGUGCGUCAGGACAUGGUUCACUCGGGUUUAAAUAAAUCAAAGAUUUUUACUUUAUCUUUUCACUGUAACUGUUAAUGUUGCUUUUUAUUCACUGUCUCACGUAAAGAACUUUUAAAGGUAUGAAAGUUUGCAUAGAGGAAAUGUUGUACACUCACUAAUGAGUACCUGGUGUGCACCAGGUGUUGUUCAUGCGCAAGUGGAUGAUCCAGUUUGGAAAUAAGUGUGUUUCUGACAGUAUGUUUUUGUCUGUUCACAGUGGAAUAAGCUUACAGAGGAACAGCGAGGGGAAUUUAAAGAAAUGGCCAGAGUGGAAAAGGAAGAACACAGUCGGCUGUACCCAGGUUGGUCAGCCAUCAACAAUUAUGUAAGUACACAAUCUAUGCAAAGCAGCACCACAAAUGUUGUGAUGUGAGCAUGUGAGAUUUCAAAAGCAGCUUUAUACUACUGACACUGCAUAAUCUGGUGUUACCAGGUCAGAAAAGUAAAAAUGUUAUGUUGUUUUUCAGGGCAAGAAAAAGAAAAGGAUGAGGGAAAGUGCACCAGCGGAAACUGCACUUGCUGCAGCUGAAACUGCACUUUCUGCAGCUGAUACUGAAAGUAUCACAUUAUUUCCAUGCCAAGAGGGAUAUUGCUAUUUAACCAUACAAGCAG